AGGACGAACGCUGGCGGCGUGCUUAACACAUGCAAGUCAAGGGGGCCCAGUAGCAAUACUGGGCAACCGGCGAACGGGUGCGUAACACGUGAGCAACCUACCGAAAUGUGGGGGAUAGCCGGCCUAACGGCCGAGUAAUACCGCAUACGCUCUCGAUGAGGCAUUUCAUUGAGAGGAAACCUACGGGACAUUUCGAGGGGCUCGCGGCCUAUCAGCUAGUUGGCGAGGUAACGGCUCACCAAGGCAACGACGGGUA
Molecule: ribosomal RNA, 256 nt
Filed under: uncultured soil bacterium
Lineage: Bacteria
Description: partial 16S ribosomal RNA
Rfam family: Bacterial small subunit ribosomal RNA
Source: RNAcentral